ACGUAGGGUGCAAGCGUUGUUCGGAAUCAUUGGGCGUAAAGCGUGUGUAGGUGGCUUGCUAAGUUGAUUGUGAAAUCCCUGGGCUCAACCGAGGAAGUGCAGUCAAAACUAGUAAGCUAGAAGAUGGCAGAGGAAGGUGGAAUUCCAAGUGUAGAGGUGAAAUUCGUAGAUAUUUGGAGGAAUACCGGCGGCGAAGGCGGCCUUCUGGACCAUUCUUGACACUGAGACACGAAAGCGUGGGUAGCAAACAGAA
This 253-nucleotide ribosomal RNA is filed under the name uncultured prokaryote. RNAcentral's name for it is "partial 16S ribosomal RNA". It matches the Rfam family "Bacterial small subunit ribosomal RNA", at positions 525 to 777 of the family's 1533-position model. The record is from RNAcentral.